RNAcentral lists this ribosomal RNA (497 nucleotides) under uncultured bacterium. RNAcentral's name for it is "partial 16S ribosomal RNA". It matches the Rfam family "Bacterial small subunit ribosomal RNA", at positions 28 to 507 of the family's 1533-position model. The record is from RNAcentral.
GAUGAACGCUGGCGGCGUGCCUAAUACAUGCAAGUCGAGCGAACAGACGCGGAGCUUGCUCCUCUCACGUUAGCGGAGGACGUGUGAGUAACAUGUGGAUAACCUCCCUAUAAGACUGGGAUAACUUCGGGACACCGGCGCUAAUCCCGGAUAAUAUAUUGAACCGCAUGGUUCAAUAGUGAAAGACGGUUUUGCUGUCACUUAUAGAUGGAUCUGGGCCGCAUUAGCUAGUUGGUAAGGUACAGGCUUACCAAGGCGACGAUGCGUAGCCGACUUGAGAGAGUGAUAGGCCACACGGGAACUGAGACAGCGUCCAGGCGCCUACGGUAGGCAGCAGUAGGGAAUCUUCCGCAGUAGGCGAAAGCCUUGCGGAGCGGCGCGGCGUGAGAUGUAGAGGUCUUCGGAUCGGAAUACUCUGUUAUUAGGUAAAAACAAAUUUGUAAGGAACUGUGCACGGCGUGACGGUACCUAGUCAAAAAGCCACGGCUAACUACGUG